Molecule: ribosomal RNA, 253 nt
Filed under: uncultured bacterium
Lineage: Bacteria
Description: partial 16S ribosomal RNA
Rfam family: Bacterial small subunit ribosomal RNA
Source: RNAcentral
UACGGAGGAUCCAAGCGUUAUCCGGAUUUAUUGGGCGUAAAGAGCGUGUAGGCGGCCAUGUAGGUCCGUUGUGAAAACUCGAGGCUCAACCUCGAGACGCCGAUGGAAACCAUGUGGCUAGAGUCCGGAAGAGGAGAGUGGAAUUCCUGGUGUAGCGGUGAAAUGCGCAGAUAUCAGGAAGAACACCCGUGGCUAAGGCGGCUCUCUAGUACGGUACUGACGCUGAGACGCGAAAGCGUGGGGAGCGAACAGG